This 484-nucleotide ribosomal RNA is filed under the name uncultured bacterium. RNAcentral describes it as "partial 16S ribosomal RNA". It matches the Rfam family "Bacterial small subunit ribosomal RNA", at positions 30 to 507 of the family's 1533-position model. The record is from RNAcentral.
AUUGAACGCUGGCGGCAGGCCUAACACAUGCAAGUCGAGCGGAUGAAGGGAGCUUGCUCCUGGAUUCAGCGGCGGACGGGUGAGUAAUGCCUAGGAAUCUGCCUGGUAGUGGGGGAUAACGUCCGGAAACGGGCGCUAAUACCGCAUACGUCCUGAGGGAGAAGGUGGGGGAUCUUCGGACCUCACGCUAUCAGAUGAGCCUAGGUCGGAUUAGCUAGUUGGUGGGGUAAAGGCCUACCAAGGCGACGAUCCGUAACUGGUCUGAGAGGAUGAUCAGUCAAACUGGAACUGAGACACGGUCCAGACUCAUACGGGAGGCAGCAGUGGGGAAUAUUGGACAAUGGGCGAAAGCCUGAUCCAGCCAUGCCGCGUGUGUGAAGAAGGUCUUCGGAUUGUAAAGCACUUUAAGUUGGGAGGAAGGGCAGUAAGUUAAUACCUUGCUGUUUUGACGUUACCAACAGAAUAAGCACCGGCUAACUUCGUG